RNAcentral lists this long non-coding RNA (4686 nucleotides) under Brassica napus (rape). Its description in RNAcentral is "long non-coding RNA (BNAP_LNC001866)". The record is from RNAcentral. Lineage: Eukaryota; Viridiplantae; Streptophyta; Magnoliopsida; Brassicales; Brassicaceae.
AGUGUUGGUUUAGUCAAUGCGAAAGUCCUCCUCCGUUCCUCGACGAAACCAGACACUACCAAGCUCAAAAAGGCGAAGAAAAUCCCGGUUCCUAUCCUUUGCAAGAGCGUGAUCCCGGUGUCUAUACCGGUGAUUCUUCUCAAGGUAGGCACGAGGACGCGGUCGUAGAUUAUGAUGAAAACAGUCAUUCCUGUCAUCAAGAAGACCACAUAGGUGGCUGCAGGGAUCACAAACCCUCCAGAGCCUAAGCGACGAUCGCUCUGGAGGGCUUGAAAGACAGGAUAGGUCAUCUGUUGCGUGAUGGUCAAGUAAUAGAUCGAUGAAGCAAACCAUAUAGGAAGCACUCUCACAAUGCACUUCACUUCUUCAACUUGUUGCAUUGUACAUAGCUUCCAUGGAUCCGUAGGCUUACCAUCAGCAUCCAACUUGUCUUCAGGAGCCAAGAUCGCCGCCUUAUCAAGAAACCUACCAAAAACAGAAAGCUUGCUUUCUAAGUAAACAAAAGUGGAAAGAUAUUAUUUAUAACCGUGUGUCUUUACCUGAACUGGUCGGUGUACUUGAGCUUAGAGUUUGCGUAGUUUAGUGGGUAGUAAUUGUAAAGGUUAACCCAAGGCUGCUUCACAGCCUUUAACCCACGUUUCUUGAUAGCAACCGUUAUAACUUGAGCUAUACUAGCCAAUGGACUACCUGAGGCUUUGAUCUUGACAUACAACUUAUCACCCGCAAAGAAGAUCAGGUCUAAAAGCUUCCAGAAGAUGAGAAACCACAUGAUCAUUAGACUUUGUUCUUGUCUUGUUGUUUGAUCACAUCUCCAUUUGUUUCAUAAGCUGUCACUUCAUCAUCACUUCCUUUGUACCUAUACCAUCUUGACAUCACCAAGAAGUAAGCAAAAUUAACCGCCAAGAUUCCAGCGAUCAUGAAGUAAAACAAAUCCAAUCUUCCUUUGUUCAAAUCUUCAGCCAACCAGUUACCGCCAGCCGAGUUCUGCGUCGUCCUGUGUACCGUUGCAAUCAAGAAGCUGCCGAGGUAACUAGAAACUCCUCCUCCCACAUAGAAGAUGGAGCCGGCGAAACUCCUCAUGUUCUCGGGGAACUGCUUGUAGUAAAACUCCAUCUGUCCAAUAGCUCCAAAUGCCUCGGCUACACCCGCGAGUGUGAGCUGCGGUAUCAGCCACAUAGCUGACAUUGAGGAGAUUUCUCCCUUCCGUGGCGCCAUACCGAGUGUUGGUUUAGUCAAUGCGAAAGUCCUCCUCCGUUCCUCGACGAAACCAGACACUACCAAGCUCAAAAAGGCGAAGAAAAUCCCGGUUCCUAUCCUUUGCAAGAGCGUGAUCCCGGUGUCUAUACCGGUGAUUCUUCUCAAGGUAGGCACGAGGACGCGGUCGUAGAUUAUGAUGAAAACAGUCAUUCCUGUCAUCAAGAAGACCACAUAGGUGGCUGCAGGGAUCACAAACCCUCCAGAGCCUAAGCGACGAUCGCUCUGGAGGGCUUGAAAGACAGGAUAGGUCAUCUGUUGCGUGAUGGUCAAGUAAUAGAUCGAUGAAGCAAACCAUAUAGGAAGCACUCUCACAAUGCACUUCACUUCUUCAACUUGUUGCAUUGUACAUAGCUUCCAUGGAUCCGUAGGCUUACCAUCAGCAUCCAACUUGUCUUCAGGAGCCAAGAUCGCCGCCUUAUCAAGAAACCUACCAAAAACAGAAAGCUUGCUUUCUAAGUAAACAAAAGUGGAAAGAUAUUAUUUAUAACCGUGUGUCUUUACCUGAACUGGUCGGUGUACUUGAGCUUAGAGUUUGCGUAGUUUAGUGGGUAGUAAUUGUAAAGGUUAACCCAAGGCUGCUUCACAGCCUUUAACCCACGUUUCUUGAUAGCAACCGUUAUAACUUGAGCUAUACUAGCCAAUGGACUACCUGAGGCUUUGAUCUUGACAUACAACUUAUCACCCGCAAAGAAGAUCACGCAGGCCAAGAACAUUAACACGACAGGUAUGGUUAAACCGAUGGUCCAACUGACGUUAGACUGGAUGUAGACAACUAGUGUCAGCGACAAGAUCUGCGCGAACGUGAAGGUGAAGAAGUACCAGUUAAAGAAACUAUCAAUCCCUCUCUUCCCUGACUCGCUUUUAGGGUUAAACUGAUCAGCUCCAAAAGCAAGAUUACACGGUCUAAUCCCACCUGCUCCCACCACAAGAAAGGCAAGACCCAUUAGUAGAAAGGCUAUCUGGCCACCACUUGGGCCUGUACACGUGAGGGCUGUUCCGCAUGGAGCUGGAUGCAGUUGUGGUACUGCAGCAGUUAAUAGUAUCACAAGUGAUCCCUACCAAAACAAGAAUCAGAUUUUUUUUUUUUAGGUUUAUAAACCAAGAUUGCUUGUGGAGGAAGAAAAGGUUAUAGAGGAUGGAUUAUUACAAGAAAACAUGCGAUGACCGCGACGGUUAGUGUCUUGUAACGACCGAAGUAAGUGUCGCAAAGGAAGGCGGCAACGAAGGUUCCGAAGUUGAUUGUGCCACUAAAGGCGUUGAUGAUUGUUGCGGCUGUGAUACUCUUCAUGUUGAAGACAGCAGUUAAGUAAACCAGAAGGUUUGAUAGUGUUCCAAUGAUCCCAAGCUUCUCAAAUGUCUCGUUUCCUGGUAAUAACAACAUGCAAGAAGAAAAGAUCAUAAGACUUUGACCUUAGCAACCAAACGAAGAAUCAAACAAGAGAUUCUUGAUCAUUUAUGUGUUCUGAAACAUCUUCAAACUCAAGAUCUCACUCUUUUGGGUUAAAUUACUGUUUGACUAAGUCAAAGCUUAAGACAACAACACAAAGAAUCUCACCAAUAAUAAAAUCAAACCAACAAAAUAUAGUUUCUAGAAACAGAGAAGAAAAUUGUCAAAAUUUAAUUACAGGAAAUUUCUAGAAAUAUAGUUUCUAAAACUUUGGAAAUAUACCAAUCAAAGAAAAUGAUAUAUAUUUUUUUUAUCAAAAAUUUAUAUUUUUUAUAUGUUUAAAACAUAUGCGUUACCUAUGAUGAAAGGCAUGACUUUCCAGCCUCUAUAAACGAGUUUGGUUUCCUGAACUUCUUCUUCAACAGAAUCAACCGCCGUAGCAGAGCCGUCGUACACGGCGGAGGAAGGUUUCUGAUGAUCGGUGGACUCAACUUCCAGAGGCUUUCUCUCCAUUUUGCUACUACUGAAGCAGUUUAAAGUUGUAUUUUCUUUAUUUUGUAUUGUUGUCUCAAAAGGCUAAUAAUGAUGACUCUGUUUUUUCUUCAUCUUGGAGUUGUCUCUAUAUAUAGUGGUAAAGAGGAUGGUGGAUGUGUCGGAAUAUAGACAAAUUGGUAAUUUGUGAAUAUGGCCGUGAAAGAGAACUGUGUUAGUGAUUAUAAUAUUGGUUUUAAAUUAGUCAAUUAAAGUAUUUUUGUUUACAGAAUUAAGCUUAAAAAAAAAGAAGGUGAAAAUGUAGAUUCCAUUACAAGUGUUGUGGCCCCAUCAUAAUCACUCACUCUUUAAUAACGGCACGUUCUUUUAAGCUCUCAAUUUGUUUUCCAUCAUCCAUUUUCGUAUUUCUUUUUUUCUUUUUUUUUUCAUUUUCGUAUUUCAUUUAUCUCUUCUUCUUCUAUUUUUAUGCUUUUUAUUUGUCUUCAUUUAAUUUUAACAAAUAUAUCAUUAAUAUAAGAAAUAUCUCAAGAACAUGCUCCAUCUUAUGAAAAUUGGCUGUUUUAGUUUCCUUUUUAUUUCAUAUAAUAUAAUGUUAUAUAUAUUUCAGUUAGUCCUUGAAAAAAUGCUGAAGUAAAUGAAACUAAAUUCAAAUUAUAAGGAGUAAAUACUAACAAAUAAGGUUGAAAACAAUUCUUAGAUAUUUUUUGUAUAUAUGAAAACUUAAAUCAUGAAACAACAAUACUUUCAGAAUCAUUUAGUUAAGCAAUGUAAAUUUUUAACAUCGUUUGCAGCUAACGCAAAUAUAUGAAAUAAAUGAUGGUAAACAACAAAUUUUUUUGUAGUGAGCUAACCUGAAACACACAUACAAAUCUGUACUUAAUUUCUAUUCAAUAGCGAAUCUUCCACUAUCUGAUCGGUCCACCAUGAUUGGUUUAGUCAAAUUAGUUGGUAAGAGAUUAUGAUCUUCUAAAAUUUGUAUCUGCUAAAAUUUAAUGUUGGUGGAUUGCGGGAGACAAAGUCAGACAAAAUUUCUUUUAAAAUCCACUAAUUUUUUUUAGCCCGAUUUAUUGGUUCUUAUUUUAAUUUUAAUUUUUUCUCAAAUCAUUUAUUGGUUCUGUUCAUUUGAAAAAGUCAAAUUUUGUGUAAUUAAUAACCCAUUUGAGCUUGGUUUUAUUUGAGUUGAGUUACUUCCUGUUUUUUUUUUCCACUAAAAGGCAAUGAAAAUUUUAAUUGUUUUUUCUCUAUUUUUGAAUACAUUCAUAAAAAGGCCAGUUCUCUACAUUUUUCAGGAAAUUGAUGAAAAUUAAAUUAGUAUCCUGGGAGAUGUUAGUAAAAGUAGACCAGAAUGAAAAAGAGAAAAACUGAGAUGUUAGUAAAAUUAAUUAGACAUGACACCAAUAAGGAUGGUCUCAAUUUCCUCAACUUUAGCUUCCACAAUUCAACUUUAAUUUCUUCCAUUUUACCAAUUUGGUUCACAACUAAAAUCCUCAAGCAAGAAAUGCAGUUAACAAAAAAAAUUUAAAAAAAACUUCUGACUAAGUUCAAGUAUU